This 71-nucleotide transfer RNA is filed under the name Sepiella maindroni. RNAcentral describes it as "tRNA-Met". The record is from RNAcentral. Lineage: Eukaryota; Metazoa; Mollusca; Cephalopoda; Sepiida; Sepiidae. RNAcentral also lists the same sequence under 1 other name.
AAUAAAGUCAGCUAAGAUUUUAAGCUAUUGGGUUCAUACCCCGAAAAUAAAUAAAUAAAAUUUCUUUAUUA